CCUACGGGAGGCAGCAGUGGGGAAUAUUGCACAAUGGGGGAAACCCUGAUGCAGCGACGCCGCGUGAGUGAAGAAGUAUCUCGGUACGUAAAGCUCUAUCAGCAGGGAAGAUAAUGACGGUACCUGACCAAGAAGCCCCGGCUAACUACGUGCCAGCAGCCGCGGUAAUACGUAGGGGGCAAGCGUUGUCCGGAUUUACUGGGUGUGAAGGGAGCGUAGACGGCAGCACAAGUCUGAAGUGAAAUCCCGGGGCUGAACCCCGGAACUGCUUUGGAAACUGUGCGGCUGGAGUGCAGGAGGGGUAAGCGGAAUUCCUGGUGUAGCGGUGAAAUGCGUAGAUAUUAGGAAGAACACCGGUGGCGAAGGCGGUCUGCUGGACAGCAACUGACGCUGAGGCGCGAAAGCGUGGGGAGCAAACAGGAUUAGAUACCCGGGUAGUC
This 440-nucleotide ribosomal RNA is filed under the name uncultured bacterium. RNAcentral's name for it is "partial 16S ribosomal RNA". It matches the Rfam family "Bacterial small subunit ribosomal RNA", at positions 338 to 795 of the family's 1533-position model. The record is from RNAcentral.